CAAUAGCGUAUAUUCAAGUUGUUGCAGUUAAAAAGCUCGUAGUUGGAUUUCGGGUGGGACGCAGCGGUCUCGCAUUGCGUUUGUACUGCUGCAGCCCUCCUUCUUGCCGGGGGCGGCCUCUCGGACUUCACUGUCUGGGGGUCAGAAUCGGCGAUGUUACUUUGAGUAAAUUAGAGUGUUCAAAGCAAGCUUACGCUCUGAAUAUAAUAGCAUGGGAUAACACGACAGGACUCUGGCCUAUCGUGUUGGUCUAUAGGACCAGAGUAAUGAUUAAGAGGGACAGUCGGGGGCAUUCGUAUUCCGUUGUCAGAGGUGAAAUUCUUGGAUUUACGGAAGACGAACAUCUGCGAAAGCAUUUGCCAAGGAUGUUUUCAUUGA
RNAcentral lists this ribosomal RNA (378 nucleotides) under uncultured eukaryote. Its description in RNAcentral is "partial 18S ribosomal RNA". It matches the Rfam family "Eukaryotic small subunit ribosomal RNA", at positions 592 to 976 of the family's 1831-position model. The record is from RNAcentral.